RNAcentral lists this long non-coding RNA (8583 nucleotides) under Astyanax mexicanus (Mexican tetra). RNAcentral's name for it is "lncRNA (ENSAMXG00005003901.1)". The record is from RNAcentral. Lineage: Eukaryota; Metazoa; Chordata; Actinopteri; Characiformes; Acestrorhamphidae.
UGGGAACAUUACCUUUCCCAACUACUUGAUGACACACUGGCUACAGCGGAAAGAACUAUACUCAUCCCUCCAUCAUGAGCCAGUCAGUGCCAGAGAUGUGAAGCCACCUCAGAGUUCUUCCAGAGACAGACUUUACAGAAAGGAGGAAAACCCGAAUGAAUAAACAACAAAAGGACUGAUUUUUAUCAGACAACAUGGGAACUUUCGAAGAACUGCUUCUGGGUAAUAAACCAACGCUUCCUUCUGCCAUCCUACUGACUGUACUCAUUCUGCUACCAGCAUUUACCAUAACAUCUCAGGCUGAAACAACAGGAAGUUUCACAAACUUCACUACACAAACUUCAGAAUUGAAAGAAAACGAGACGUCAACUCUCUCAGAGUCAACAACUGAAUCCAGCUCCACAGUGGGAUUGACACCAACACCAGAAACCCCACUACAAACAUCUGUGACAAUAUCUACAGCAGAUGAAUCUUCACCGACACCUUUAAUCCUCUCAACUGAAGAAGACCAUUCAACAUCAUCUCCUCUCUCAACAUCUACAAGCUUAGCAUCUGAUUCAUCCCCAAGUACUGAAUCUGAAGGCACUACCAGUGCAAGUUCAACAGAACCUGUCACUAAAUCAAGUCCCACAAUCUUUACAAACCAUGAAUUCACACAAAGCAGUUCAUUUUACACAACAGAUGAGCCAAGUUCAUCUUCAUCAACUGACUCAACAAUUACCUAUUCGUCUUCACAAACUUCAGAACUUUCAAGUAAGACAAGCCACCAAUCAUCUUCAUCAUCUGUCACAAAUGAAGUUGGUUCUUCAGAGUCAACAACUGAAUUCAGCUCCACAGUGGGAUUGACACCAACUUCUAAAACCCCACCACAAACAUCUGACUCAAUAUCUACAGCAGAAGAAUCUACACCAACACCUUCAAUCCUCUCAACUGAAGAAGACCGUUCACCAUCAUCUCCUCUCUCAACAUCUAUAAGCUUAGCAUCUGAUCCAUCACCUAGUACUAAAUCUAAAGGCACAAAUACGGCAAGCUCAACAGAACAUGUAACCGAAUCAAGUCCCACCAUCUCUACAAACCAGGAAAUUACACAUAGUAGUUCAUUUUACACAACAGAUGAGCCACAUCCAUCUUCAUCCACUGACUCAACAAUUAUCUAUACAGCUACUUCACAAAAUUCAGAACUUUCAAGUGGGACAAGCGAACAAUCUUCAGAAUCGACUGUCUCAGAUAAAACCAGUUCUUCAGAGUCAACAACUGAAUUCAGCUCUACACUGGGAUUGACACCAAAUUCAGAAACCCCACCACAAACAUCUGUGACAAUAUCUACAGCAGAAGAAUCUACACCAACACCUUCAAUCCUCUCAACGGAAGAAGACCAUUCAACAGUAUCUCCUUUCUCAACAACAAAUGGUUUAGCAUCUGAAUCAUCACCAAGUACUGAAUCUGAAGGCACCACAACUGCAAGCUCAACUGAACCUGUAACUGAAUCAAAUACCACCAUCUCAACAACUCAGGAAAUUACACAAAGUAGUUCAUUUUACACAACAGAUGAGCCACAUUCACCUUCAUUAACUGACUCAACAAUUUACUAUACAUCUACUUUACAAACUUCAGAAAUUUCAAGUAGGACAAACCAACAAUCCUCUGAGUCAACUGUCACAACUGAAGUUGAUUCUUCAGAGUCAACAACAGAAUUGAGCUCUACACUGGGAUUGACACCAACUUCAGAAACCCCACUACAAACAUCUGUGACAAUAUCUACAGCAGAAGAAUCUACACCGACACCUCCAAUCCUCUCAACUGAAGAAGACCAUUCAACAUCAUCUCCUCUCUCAACAUCUAUAAGCUUAGUAUCUGGUACAUCGCCUAGUACUGAAUCUAAAGACUCAACCACUGCAAGAUCAACUGAACAUGUAACUGAAUCAAGUCUCACUAUCUCAACAAACCAGGAAAUUACACCUAGUAGUUCAUUUUACACAACAGAUGAUCCAAGUUCAUUUUCAUCAACUGGGACAAGCCAACAAUCUUCAGAAUCAUCCAUCACAACUGAAGCUGGUUUCUCAGAGUCAACAACAGAUUCCAGCUCCACAGUGGGAUUGACACCAACUUCAGAAACCUCACCACAAACAUCUGUGACAAUAUCUACAGCAGAAGAAUCUACAUCGACAGAUUCAAUCCUCUCAACAGAAGAAGACCAUUCAACAUCAUCUCCUCUCUCAACAUCUAUAAGCUUAACAUCUGAUUCAUCAUCUAGUACUGAAUCUGAAGGCACUAACACUGCAAGCAAAACAGAACCUGCAACUGAAUCAAAUCCUACCAUCUCAACAACCCAGGAAUUCACACAAAGCAGUUCAUUUUACACAACAGAUGAGCCAAGUUCAUCUUCAUCAACUAACUCAACAAUUACCUAUUCGUCUUCUUCACAAACUUCAGAACUUUCAAGUAGGACAAGCCACCAAUCAUCAGAGUCAUCUGUCACAACUGAAGUUGGUUCUUCAGAGUCAACAACUGAAUUCAGCUCCACAGUGGGAUUGACACCAACUUCAGAAACCCCACCACAAACAUCUGAGUCAAUAUCUACAGCCGAAGAAUCUACACCAACACCUUCAAUCCUCUCAACUGAAGAAGACCAUUCAACAUCAUCUUCUCUCUCAACAUCUAUAAGCUUAGCAUCUGAUUCAUCCCCAAGUACUGAAUCUGAAGGCACUACCACUGCAAGCUCAACGGAACCUGUCACUGAAUCAAGUCCCACAAUCUCUACAAACCAGGAAUUUACACCAAGUAGUUCAUUUUACACAACAGAUGAUCCAAGUUCAUCUUCAUCAACUGACUCAACAGUGAAGUAUACAUCUGGUUUACAAACUUCAGAAAUUUCAAGUAGGACAAGCCACCAAUCCUCUGAGUCAACUGUCACAACUGAAGUUGAUUCUUCAGAGUCAACAACUGAAUUCAGCUACACAGUGGGAUUGACACCAACUUCAGAAACCCCACUACAAACAUCUGUGACAAUAUCUACAGCAGAAGAAUUUACAUCAACACCUUCAAUCCUCUCAACUAAAGAAAACCUUUCACCAUUAUCUUCUCUCUCAACAUCUAUAAGCUUAGCAUCUGGAACAUCACCUAGUACUGAGUCUGAAGACUCAAUGACUACAAGCUCAACGGAACCUGUCACUGAAUCAAGUCCCACAAUCUUUACAAACCAUGAAUUUACACCAAGUAGUUCAUUUUACGCAACAGAUGAGCCACAUUCAUCUUCCUCCACUGACUCAACUGGGGCAAGUGCAACAAGCCAACAAUCUUCAGAAUCAUCCAUCACAACUGAAGUUGGUUCUUUAGAGUCAACAACUGAGUUGAGCUCUACACUGGGAUUGACACCAACUUCAGAAACCCCACUACAAACAUCUGUGACAAUAUCUACAGCAGAAGAAUCUACUCCAACACCUUCAAUCCUCUCAACUGAAGAAGAUCAUUCAACAUCAUCUCCUCUCUCAACAUCUAUAAGCGUAGCGCCUGAUACAUCUCUUAGUACUGAGUCUGAAGACUCAACCACUGCAAGCUUAACUGAACAUGUAACCGAAUCAAGUCCCACCAUCUCAACAACCCAGGAAUUCACAUUUUACACAACAGUUGAGCCACAUUCAUCUUCAUCAACUAACUCAACAAUUACCUAUUCUUCUUCUUCACAAACUUCAGAACUUUCAAGUGGGACAAGCCACCAAUCAUCAGAGUCAUCUGUCACAACUGAAGUUGGUUCUUCAGAGUCAACAACUGAAUUCAGCUCCACAGUGGGAUUGACACCAACAUCAGAAGCCCCAUUGCAAACAUCUGUGACAAUAUCUACAGCAGAAGAAUCUACAUCGACUCCGUCUAUCAUCUCAACUGAAGAAGACCAUUCAACAUUAUCUCCUCUCUCAACAUCUAUAAGCUUAGCAUCUGGUACAUCACCUAGUACUGAGUCUAAAGACUCAACCACUGCAAGCUCAACAGAACCUGUAACUGAAUCAAAUACCACCAUUUCUUCACCACAGGAAUUUACAACAAAGAGUUCAUUUUAUACAACAGAUGAGCCAAAUUCAUCUUCAUUAACUGAUUCAACAAUUACCUAUCCAUCUACUACACAAAGCAUGUCUGCUUCAUCAGAGCCUGAAUCCUCAGCCACACCUGAUUACAUUACAAUGCAAACAUCUAGACAAUCCUCAGAAACAUCAGAAUUUACAAAUGGGACAACUUAUCAAUCGUCAGAAUCUACUUCUUUGGAUGACACCAGCUCUUCCUUGUCAACAACUGAAGUCAGAUCCACAGUGGGAUUAACACCAACAUCAGAAACCCAAUCACACACAUCUUUGUCAAUAUCUACAGCAGAAGAACUUACAUCAACACAUUCCAUCCUCUCAACUGAAGAAGACCAUUCAACAUCAUCUCCUCUAUCAACAUCUAUAAGCUUAACAUCUGAUACAUCGCCUAGUACUGAAUCUGAAGGCACUACCUCCGCAAGCAAAACAGAACCUGCAACUGAAUCAAAUACCACCAUCUCAACAACCCAGGAAUUUACACAAAGCAGUUCAUUUUACACAACAGAUGAGCCACAUUCAUCUUCAGCCACUGACUUAACAAUGAACUGUACAUCUGGCUUACAAACUUCAGAAAUUUCAAGUGGGACAAGCCACCAAUCAUCAGAAUCCACUGUCUCAGAUGAAACCAGUUCUUCAGAGUCAACAACUGAACUGAGGACCACAGUGGGAUUUACAUCAACAUCAGAAACUCCUCUACAAACAUCUCUAACAAUACCGACAACAGAAAAACCUACACAGACUCCCUUCUCAACUGAGGCAAAUUCAACACCAUCAUCUUUCUCAACAUCAACAACUUUAACAACUGAAAGCUCAAUCACUGCUCAGUCUGAAGGUCCUAUCACUGUGGGCUCAACAGAACAUACUUCAAGAGAAACUUCAGAACUUACAAGUGGGACAAGUCAACAACCAUUGGAAUCUACAACUGAACCAGCAGAGACUCCUCUGUUUGUCUCAACUGAAGAAGUGCAUUCAACACACUCUGCUUUCUCAACAUCAACAAGCUCAACAAAUAACACUUCAAAUCCUACCCAAUCUGAUGGUUCUACUACAGCUGAAAAGCCAGUUUCAUUACCAUCAGAUGAACCCAGUUCUUCAGCAUCAACAACUGAACUGAGGUCUACAACAGGAAUGACAUCAACAAUCCUAACAACUGAAACUGCAAUCACUACUCAAUCUGAAGGUCCUACCACUGCAAGCUCAAUAGAACAUACUACAAUUGAAACUCCAGAAACCUCAGUUUCAUUGUCAUCCUUUACAACAGCUGAGUCCCUUUCAUCACCAUCAAGUGACUCAACAAUAUUCUUAACAUCGGCCACUUCAAUAAGCCUAACUACAUCAGAAUCUACUGUCUCAGUUGAAGCUGGUUCUUCAACAUUAAGAACUGAAUUUAGCUCCACAGUGGGAAUGGCACCAACACCAGAAACCUCAUUACAAACACUUGUGACAGUAUCUACAACAGAACCAGCAGAGACUCCUAUUACAUCACCUAAUACUGAAUCUAUAGGUUCUACCUCUGUGGGCUCACCAGAAAGUUCUGUAACUGAACUCAAAUCAACAGAAAUAACUAGACAAUUCUCAGAAUCUACUUUAUCAGAUAAAACCAGUUCUUCAGCAUCAACAACUGAACUGAGGUCUACAACAGGAAUGACAUCAACAAACUUAACAACAGAAACCACAAUCACUACUCAAUCUGAAGGUCCUACCACUGCAAGCUCAAUAGAACAUACUACAACUGAAACUCCAGUUUCAGUGUUGUCCUACCCAACGUCUGAGUCUCUUUUAUCACCAUCAAGUGACUCAACAAUAUUCUUAACAUCGGCUACAUCAAUAAGCCAAACUACAUCAUCUGAAUCUGAAAGUUUUACCACUGUGGGCUCAACAGAACAUACUUCAAGAGAAACUUCAGAACAUACAAGUGGGACAAGUCAACAGUCAUCAGAAUCUACUGUAUCAGAUGAAACCAGUGUGUCAACAUCUGAACUGAGUUCCACAGCAGAAAUUACAUCAACACCAGAAACCCCACUAAAAUCAUCUGUGCCAAUAUCUACAAAGGAAGAACCAACACAAACUCCUCUGGUCCUCUCAACUGAAGAAGCACUUUCAACACCAUCUCCUGUCUCAACAUCAACAAGUUUAACAACUGACACUUUAAAUCCAACCCAAUCUGAAGGUUCUACCACAUCUGAAAAGUCAAUUUCAUUACCGCCAACCAACUCAACAACAACCCUAACAUCUACCACAUCAAGACCAAUACUUAUUACAUCAACUAAUACUGAAUCUGAAGGUUCUACCACUGUGGGCUCAACAGAAAGUUCUGUAACUGAACUCAAAUCAACAGAAAUAACUAGACAAUCCUCAGAAACUUCAGAACUUACAAGUGGGUCAAGUCUGCAAUACUCAGAAUCUACUUUAUCAGAUGAAGCCAGUUCUUCAGUCUCAACAACUGAACUGAGGUCUACAACAGGAAUGACAUCAACAAACUUAACAACUGAAACCGCAAUCACUACUCAAUCUGAAGGUCCUACCACUGCAAGCUCAAUAGAACAUACUACAACUGAAACUCCAGUUUCAGUGUCGUCCUCCCCACCGGCUGAGUCCCUUUCAUCACCAUCAAGUGAGUCAACAAUAUUCUUAACAUCGGCCACAUUGAUAAGCCCAACUACAUCAUCUGAAUCUGAAAGUCCUAUCACGUCUGAAAAGCCAAUUUCAUUACCAUCUAGCAACUCAACAACAACCUUAACAUCUACUAUAUCAAGCCCAAUACUUGUUACAUCACCUAAUACUGAAUCUGAAAGUUCUACCACUGUGGGCUCAACAGAAUAUACUUCUAGAGAAACGUCAGAACAUACAAGUGGGACAAGUCAACAAUCAUCAGAAUUUACUGUCUCAGUUGAAGCUGGUUCUUCAACAUUAACAACUGAAUUUAGCUCCACAGUGGGAAUGGCACCAUCAACAUCAGUCCCAUUACAAACAUCUGUGACAAUACCUACAACAGAAGAACCAACACAGACUCCUCUAGUUCCCUCAACUGAAGAAAUGCUUUCAAAAUCUUCUUUCCCAACAUCAGCAACCUUAACAACUGAUACCUCAAUAACUACUCAAUCUGAAAGUUCUACCACUGUAGGCUCAACAGAACAUACUUCAAGAGAAACGUCAGAACGUACAAGUGGGACAAGUCAACAAUCAUCAGAAUCUACUGUCUCAAUUGAAGCUGGUUCUUCAACAUUAACAACUGAAUUUAGCUCUACAGUGGAGAUGACAACCACAGCAAACCCAUUACAAACAUCUGUGACAAUAACUACAACAGAAGAACCUACACAGAGUCCUCUGGUUCUCUCAACUCAAGAAGCAAAUUCAACAUCAUCUCCUUUCUCAACAUCAGUAAGCUUAACAACUGAAACUUUAAAUACUACCCAAUCUGAAGGUUCUACCACAGCUGAAAAGCCAACUUUAUUAUCAUCAACCAACUCAACCACAACCUUAACAUCUAUCACAACCCAAAACGCCACAGAAACCACAUCAUUGACUACAAAAUUAACAGAAACUUCAACAUUUGCAAGUUCAUUUAUCCCUACAUCAUCAACACCCACACAAGCCACUGUCUUCUCCACAACUGAAGCCUCUCAUUCCACUCAACCCACUCACUUCAUUUCACCUGCUACAUCUACUGCUCCAACUCAUCCAGACCACACAACAAAGGAGACACCUUCCUCAACAAUCCCAACCAACCCAACAUCAGUAACAAAUUCAACUGGAAAACCAAUCCAAACGUCAUCUAUCACCACAGCAGAAAAAACGUCUUCUACCACAAAUGCAACAUUAUUUUCAGGAUCUACUUCUGAAAUAGUGACACAGUCUCAAAUGAAAAGCACUGAAAAGGUUGCUACAUCAACGAGUCAACCUUCCUUCGAAUUUACCAAAUCUACUUCUACUACUAAUCUAGAACCCACAACGAAGGAGACACUUUCAUCAACAGUUACAAACCCAACACUGACUACAAAUUCAACAGAAAAGCCAACCCAGACAUCAGAAACAAUGUCUUCUUUCACAAAUGCAACAAUAUCGUCCAGAUCAACCACUGAAAUGUUGACACCUUCUGGGAAUACAACAACUAAACAGUCUUCUACUCUAACAACUCAACCAUCCAUUGGAUUUACGAAUCAGUCUUCAAAAUCUCCUGCUGCUUUUACCACUUUACAUUCCUCUUCCACUGGUAAAGUGACUCAAAUGACACUCUCCUCUUCCACUCAAGUGAAAUCAACCAUAUCUCUUCCAACUACCAGUUCCUAUACUUCCAUAUUAAUGAGUGAAACUACGCCAAGUAAUUGCAUUAAUUUCACUUCUGGCGGUUCCUGCAACAUUGCAACAGUGAUAUUGUGUAAGUACACCUCAGAAUGAUUGUUUAUUAUUGGGCAAGUUGUAGUAUUGGUAUUCUUUAUCUAUCUACAGGGGUUUGACAAUGAAACUGAAACACCUGUCAUUUUAGUGUGGGAGGUUUCAUGGCUAAUUU